UAAGUCAAGUACAACAGACACCUGUAUCCUGUGUGCAAUUUUUACGUAUUUGAACGAAUCAACGAUGACGAAGGGAGUCAAACAAAAUUGUCAUUCGUUGUUAGUCGCGGUUAUAUUGUUAAGAAGAUGAGAUCGCGGCGCAUAAACAUGGUUCAGAAAGCGGAUCAAUGCAUGUUCAUUCAUGACGCCAUUAUCGAUCACAUCCAAUGUGGAGCGAAUGAAGUUGAUGCUGUUCAAAUCAAGAUCGAGAUUGCACAGCUGUCUAAGAAAAGUAGGAACGGAAAAACUGGAUUUGAAGAUAAGUUUGUGGUUUCUACUAUCUUUUUGUAAUGAUCAUUUCUUAUGCUGAUGCCUAUCUAAUGUAUGUAAAGACUUAAGUUUCGACUUAAAAUCAUUCCC
Molecule: long non-coding RNA, 399 nt
Organism: Xenia sp. Carnegie-2017
Lineage: Eukaryota; Metazoa; Cnidaria; Anthozoa; Malacalcyonacea; Xeniidae
Exons: 2
Source: RefSeq, a predicted model, not a curated record